UCACAUUUCUCACUUGCUCAUGACAAGAAUGGAGCCGGCCAAUUUUUGUGUGCAUGCCAAUUUCGGCCAGCACUACCUCCUCUUUUCCUUCUUAUACAAGCCAUGCCUCCCACCUAACCCAAUCACUAAAUGGGCAGCCACCCACCAUAGCCAAUCAAAGAAGGAGGCAGCCACCAUCCUCCCUCUAUUUAAAGAGCUUGGCCGGCCACCACCUCCACCUUUGGCCUCAUUUUUCUUCUCUCCACUCCCUCACACUCUCCUCCUACCUCUCCCCACGAGCUGCUGCUCCUCCUAAGCUCGAUGGCCGGCCAUGGCCAUGAAAACCAGCCAAGAUGAAGCUCCCCUUCUUCCUCAAGCUCAUCCUCACCAUGAGAGCAUCUCUCUCACUCUCUUCUCCCCCAACCCUAGCUGGUUUCCUCUCCUUUUCUUCUUCCUCCAUUGCUAAGAUUGGAUCUUGAUGCAGGUGCAUGUUGGUCCAAGCAUGGAGGAGGUUGAGCAAUCCUCAGAUCUGAAGUUCUUGAGCAAAAUCCAAAUCGAGUGAUUCAAAGUUCCACAGAUAGGUAUUGAAAAGAUCUACAACUUGGCGUUGGUCUCAUCCUCAAAUACGUUACGGAUUUUGCACGAUCAAGAUCUGGUCAGAUCUGACUUUGUCGAAUUAAACCAGGAGCUUGGAAACGAAUUUUUGAAUGAAACCAGUUGGGGGAUGUUUGGUUUAUACCAUGGUGAUAACCGAGAGAGGCAAUUGCUAAGUCAUGGCACUCUCAUACCUUCACUAGAUGCGAACAAUUCCGGAGAAGAAGAAGUGGAAUCGGACGAGGAUUUUAUUUAUAUAUGUUGUUGGGAUUCUUAUAUUGAUGGAGUUGAUGAAGUACAGGGACAAAUAA
Molecule: non-coding RNA, 884 nt
Organism: Lolium perenne
Lineage: Eukaryota; Viridiplantae; Streptophyta; Magnoliopsida; Poales; Poaceae
Source: RefSeq, a predicted model, not a curated record